UGUAACGGGCGAGUGGAAGCGGCAAAAGCUCAAAUUUGAAAUCUGGUACCUUCGGUGCCCGAGUUGUAAUUUGGAGAGGGCAACUUUGGGGCCGUUCCUUGUCUAUGUUCCUUGGAACAGGACGUCAUAGAGGGUGAGAAUCCCGUGUGGCGAGGAGUGCGGUUCUUUGUAAAGUGCCUUCGAAGAGUCGAGUUGUUUGGGAAUGCAGCUCUAAGUGGGUGGUAAAUUCCAUCUAAAGCUAAAUAUUGGCGAGAGACCGAUAGCGAACAAGUACAGUGAUGGAAAGAUGAAAAGAACUUUGAAAAGAGAGUGAAAAAGUACGUGAAAUUGUUGAAAGGGAAGGGCAUUUGAUCAGACAUGGUGUUUUGUGCCCUCUGCUCCUUGUGGGUAGGGGAAUCUCGCAUUUCACUGGGCCAGCAUCAGUUUUGGUGGCAGGAUAAAUCCAUAGGAAUGUAGCUUGCCUCGGUAAGUAUUAUAGCCUGUGGGAAUACUGCCAGCUGGGACUGAGGACUGCGACGUAAGUCAAGGAUGCUGGCAUAAUGGUUAUAUGCCGCCCGUCUUGAACCACCCGAAAACA
This 577-nucleotide ribosomal RNA is filed under the name Saccharomyces cerevisiae (brewer's yeast). Its description in RNAcentral is "partial large subunit ribosomal RNA". It matches the Rfam family "Eukaryotic large subunit ribosomal RNA", at positions 82 to 664 of the family's 3401-position model. The record is from RNAcentral. Lineage: Eukaryota; Fungi; Ascomycota; Saccharomycetes; Saccharomycetales; Saccharomycetaceae.